CAAGUGAAAUACCACUAC
RNAcentral lists this non-coding RNA (18 nucleotides) under Arabidopsis thaliana (thale cress). Lineage: Eukaryota; Viridiplantae; Streptophyta; Magnoliopsida; Brassicales; Brassicaceae. The record is from RNAcentral.